RNAcentral lists this long non-coding RNA (847 nucleotides) under Gossypium raimondii (Peruvian cotton). RNAcentral describes it as "long non-coding RNA (GRAI_LNC001381)". Lineage: Eukaryota; Viridiplantae; Streptophyta; Magnoliopsida; Malvales; Malvaceae. The record is from RNAcentral.
UCUUUCAAGAAACAAAAAUAAAAACAUGACUCCAACAAAAGCCAAGAGAGAUCUACACACCUCUUUACUCAAUUAGUUCAUCAACCACAGAUUAUUGAUGACUAUUUCAUGUGGCAAUCUUAAAAUAAACAAACCUUCAACUUCGAAAUGUAUAUUCUGAAUUUGGAUCCAUUUCCAUAAUACUAAGAUCCGUAGAGAAUGAACUAGCGAAGCAAACAAGACAAAUAAAAACCAGAAGGGCCUCCAUUCGUCUUAAGUGCCGAACAUACUGCCUGCAACUGCUCUUUCUAGUUUGAAAGCUUAAACUGACCCAAAAGCACAAACACAAUUGAAACUGACACUGAAACAGUGGAUGGUUGUCCACCAUUUCUUGGAAACUCCGUUAAUGAGCCACCGUUUUCGGCGGCGCUCACUUAUCUUCGCUCCAUAUUUCACCCGAUUGUUUAACCUCAUCCCCUCCCUUGGUCUUCCUCGUCCCUAUGUUACAUACCACAGAUAAAAUCGACAAGUUUACUAUGACUCAUUUCUCAUUUUAGUCAUGAUGCAACUCAUAAAUAUGUUGACACGACAAGAUGUUUUUUUCUUUCAAGUGUUUGAUAGAAAAAAAAAAGGGUUUUAAGUGAGGACUUUUGGCGACGGUGCAUGUUCACCCCAAUAUAUCAUGUUUUUCUUCUCUUUACAACAAAAGGGGUAAUAAAACCACUGGAUCUCGUUAGAAGUUUACUAUUUUAAGACGGUCAUCCCCUGUCACCACCACCGUUGCAUCAUUGACCGCCACCUCCUCGUCGAAUGUUCCAUCGGCGCUGCCGCACCACUGUGUUCCUUCCUUUUGCGGCACCAUUUUUCC